GAAAUGCGAUAAGUAAUGUGAAUUGCAGAAUUCAGUGAAUCAUCGAAUCUUUGAACGCACAUUGCGCCCGCCAGUAUUCUGGCGGGCAUGCCUGUUCGAGCGUCAUUUCAACCAUCAAGCCCCCGGGCUUGUGUUGGGGACCUGCGGCUGCCGCAGGCCCCGAAAACCAGUGGCGGGCUCGCUGUCACACCGGGCGUAGUAGAUUUUUCGUCUCGCCCAGGGCGUGCUGCGGGUUCCGGCCGUUAAAAAGCCUCUCUUUUAACCCAAGGUUGACCUCGGAUCAGGUAGGAAGACCCGCUGCACUGAGGC
RNAcentral lists this unclassified non-coding RNA (309 nucleotides) under plant metagenome. RNAcentral's name for it is "partial contains 5.8S ribosomal RNA, internal transcribed spacer 2, and large subunit ribosomal RNA". The stretch from base 1 to 105 matches the Rfam family "5.8S ribosomal RNA", at positions 50 to 154 of the family's 154-position model. The record is from RNAcentral.